AUUCAAUCUCUCUUCCUCCUCGUCAUGCAGGUGCGGACAUCUCGGAAUUAAUAAUGUGGCUUUUUAGUAAUGUGAUGGGAGGCCUGAAAACCACAGCCAAAUAGGAAGCAUGUCUGGAUCUGGAAAAUGAAUGUCUCCCUUAACAUGGAUAAGACAAAGCAGCUGUUCGUGGACCACAGGAAGGGAGGGAGCAAGCAUGCCUGUUCACAGCGAUGGACUUCAAGUUCCUUGGGUCCACAUCACCAAAACGCCGACUUGAUGUUGAUUUGGAAUGGUGGUGGACAUUUUGUUGUUACACACACAUCGUUCACGGAGUCGGCUUUCAUCAUCCUUGAAGGGCUUCCCCACCUACAAGUCAGAAUACAAGCUGUGUCCAAGGGACUGGAAGGCGGCGGUAAAGCGGGAUUCGAGCCGGGGCUCUGGUGCAACUUUACCAGGUCUUUGUCCUUUCCAGCAUAUGCUCACUUUGGAAACACUCUGCUUUCCAAAUCCAAGUCUUUUAUGUUAACAUAGUGAAUCCUCCUCUCCAGACCUGGAAUCUCUAUUUCAUCCACUGCAAAUCAUUUCUAUUCUACUAUUUUUAACUGGAAAUGUAUAACACAUGGUGCCUGGGCAUCCACAGCUACUGGCUGAUCUGGUCAUUGAGGUGGAAAGAAAGUUCCCAAAUUCUACAAUGACUACCAAGGGGAGUUAUCACCACAAACAGGAUCUUUCCCAGAACAAGCAACUGGUGGCAGCUCACAAAUUUGGGCACUUGGGAUUGGUCGAAUCUAACUUCACCAAUGAAAUUGAGGGGAUUUGGUCACAUUACCUUUACAGCACAAUAUCAAUGGACCACUUUGAGUGACGAAAUUAACGUCUGGGUCUCCAUCAGCUACUUCACAGAUGGCAAGAUCAGGAUGCAGUUGAAUAAUAAAACAAUCACAAGUCAGUCAUUGUAAUCUUAAAGGCCCCCACAGUGACCGGUCUGUCACAGAGCAGUACACAUUAAAUUGUUAAAAC
This is a long non-coding RNA of Esox lucius (northern pike), 1002 nucleotides long. NCBI's taxonomy places the organism in Eukaryota, Metazoa, Chordata, Actinopteri, Esociformes, Esocidae. The record is from Ensembl.